Molecule: long non-coding RNA, 1174 nt
Organism: Salvia hispanica
Lineage: Eukaryota; Viridiplantae; Streptophyta; Magnoliopsida; Lamiales; Lamiaceae
Source: RefSeq, a predicted model, not a curated record
CUGCGUAACUUCUUUCUUAUCAUCAUCUAUCUCUAUUCUCUUUCUAACUCUCUCUCUCUUCUCUUUCUUUCUCUUUUCUAAAUUUUCGCCACACAAGAUGCAGUCUAGAGUUUCUUCACGAUCAGGAGUCCAAACAAUAUCCGAUCGUCACGAAAUUUUAACCGAAGAAAUAAUUUCGAAAGUGGCUGUCGGUUUCUACAGUACCAGCGUUGGUUUUGUACACGAUCGGAGGUUCAAACAUUAUCCGAUCGUUCUGAAAUUUUAAACGAAGAGGUAGAAAUACGGGGAGUGUUUAAUGGCGGAGCUCCCGGGAUGGUGCAGGUGGUAAAGAAGGUCAAGUCUAGGAGGUUUUUCUGAAAUGGAAGCGGGAUUACUAAUCGCUCGCGAUGUCGAACUUUCUUUUAUUGUUGUAAACAUUCAAAUAUUACUUGUUAUUUUACGUAUCUAGUUUAGUGCAUAAAUUAUGUAAUUAGAACGGGGUAUUACAAGAACGGGGGAUGCAAAUUUUGUCAAAGCGUGAUCUUCUCUCUGGUCAUAAAGUAAAGAAACUGGAUUUAUGCGAACAUUGUGUUUUAGGGAGCUUCAUCGCAACAAGUUCCCAAAGAAGGGUGUUCAUCGGACCAAGGGGACGCUCGACUACAUUCACAUGGAUUGUUGGGGUCCAUCACGUGCUUAAUCUAUUGGAGGUCACAAGUAUUUUGUGUCGAUGAUUGAUGACUACUCGAGGAUGACUUGGGUGUACAUGAUGAAGCAUAAAGGUGACGCUUUCAAGAAGUUCAAACAGUGGAAAACCUUGGUGGAAAAUCAGAUAGGGAAGAAGAUCAAGCGACAGAGAACUGAUAAUGGUUUGGACUUGCUUAAUCUCAUGAGCUGUUAAUUGCUCGAGGAGGGCAAAUCUGAGGCAACUGUUCGUCUGGCAUUGUAAUGAUGCAUCUGCAAGGGAGAAUUCAAGUCAAGGUGGAGAUUUGUUAGUAUGCCUUGAAUCUGCAUAGAUUAUGUUUCAUAAUUGGGAUAGGAUUGUAUUUCCUAAUUGGGAUAGGAUCUCAUGUGUGCCUAUUUAUAUGGGAGUAGAACACAUAAUUCUGUAAUUUGAAAUAUGUAGCCAUGUAAUCCGUAAUUUGAAAUUUGUAGCCACAAUCUGAAAACACUCUGAAUAAUAUUUGUUCUUCGUUUC